CAGUAGCCGCGGGAAUACGGAGGGCGCGAGCGUUACCCGGAUUUACUGGGCGUAAAGGGCGUGUAGGCGGCCUGGGGCGUCCCAUGUGGAAGGCCACGGCUCAACCGUGGAGGAGCGUGGGAUACGCUCAGGCUAGAGGGUGGGAGAGGGUGGUGGAAUUCCCGGAGUAGCGGUGAAAUGCGCAGAUACCGGGAGGAACGCCGAUGGCGAAGGCAGCCACCUGGUCCACUUCUGACGCUGAGGCGCGAAAGCGUGGGGAGCAAACCGGAUUAGAUACCCCUGUAGUCCCUGUCUCUUAUAC
RNAcentral lists this ribosomal RNA (301 nucleotides) under uncultured bacterium. RNAcentral describes it as "partial 16S ribosomal RNA". It matches the Rfam family "Bacterial small subunit ribosomal RNA", at positions 509 to 807 of the family's 1533-position model. The record is from RNAcentral.